UACGGGGGGGGCAAGCGUUGUUCGGAAUUACUGGGCGUAAAGGGCUCGUAGGCGGCCAACUAAGUCAGACGUGAAAUCCCUCGGCUUAACCGGGGAACUGCGUCUGAUACUGGAUGGCUUGAAUCCGGGAGAGGGAUGCGGAAUUCCCGGUGUAGAGGUGAAAUUCGUAGAUAUCGGGAGGAACACCAGUGGCGAAGGCGGCGACCUGGACCGAUACUGACGCUGAGACACGAAAGCGUGGGGAGCAAACAGG
RNAcentral lists this ribosomal RNA (253 nucleotides) under uncultured bacterium. RNAcentral describes it as "partial 16S ribosomal RNA". It matches the Rfam family "Bacterial small subunit ribosomal RNA", at positions 524 to 776 of the family's 1533-position model. The record is from RNAcentral.